Homo sapiens (human) is the source of this 1550-nucleotide long non-coding RNA. RefSeq lists it as uncharacterized. The record is from RefSeq and is a predicted model, not a curated record. NCBI's taxonomy places the organism in Eukaryota, Metazoa, Chordata, Mammalia, Primates, Hominidae. The transcript has 6 exons.
AAAGUGCUGGGAUUAUAGGCAUGAGCCUCCACGCCUAGCCUCAAGUGGUCCUCUUGAGUCAACCUAGACUACAGUCUAUGCUAGAGAAUGUUUGUGUGUGUGACAAUGUAUGUUCUUGAACAUCAUAGAUUCCACUUUGGAUGCUCCUGUCGGGACUGUGUGUCCCUGUGCUGGAACUCAAGUGAGAGUUGGCUGAAAAUCCAUUGCUGUUCUCUAGAAAUCCAGCCCAAGUCUCUUGGUUAGAGAUAAGAUUCCAUUUUGGAUGCUUCCAUCGGGACUGUGUGCCCCUGUCCUGGAACUCAGCUGAACACUUGGCUCAAAAUCCAUUGCUGUUCUCUGGAAAUUCUGCCCUAAUCUCUUGGUUAAAUAUAAGAAGGCGGAGCCAGGUGUGCAGAGCGGAACGUGAAAGUGGACCAGGAGCGUGACCGCUGAAGCACAGCAUCACAGGGAGACGUUUAGGCCACCAGACGGCUGCGGGCGGGCUUGACUGAUGUCAGGCUUUCCACAAGAGGUGGUGGAGCAGAGUCUUCUCUAACUCCCCUGGAGAAAGGGAGACUCCCUCUCCGGGUUUGGGAAGAGACAAAACUCAGGAGGAUUGUGCUAUGAUAAACAAGGCUAACCUGCUGAUUCUCUGAAGCAAGGAACUGGAGAUGGUCCUUCUAAGGGUUUAUAUUCUGGAUUCCAGGAAACAUGCAAACAGGACCCAUAAAUGCAUCUUUAUUUUGGUGCCCAUUUUGACCUGGUCAGGAGAAUUCCAACAAAAAAUCCACGGUGUUGGAGCAAGAUCUCAGGCUCUCAGGCUGUGGCCAUCUAGAGAUUCCAUUUUGGAUGCUCCCAUCGGGACUGUGUGUCCCUGUGCUGGAACUCGAGUGAACACUUGGCUCAAAAUCCAUUGCUGUUCUCUAGAAAUCCUGCCCUAUUCUCUUGGUGAAAUAUAAGAUUCCAUUUUGGAUGCCCUCAUUGGGACUGUGUGUCCCUGUACUGGAACUCAAGUGAACACUUGGCUCAAAAUCCAUUGCUGUUCUCUAGAAAUCCAGCCUAAUUCUCUUGGUUAAAGGUAAGGUAUGAGUAGUAAGCAUUGCUUUUUCUCUUUGGGAACAAAACUCAGGAGGAUUGCCCCUUGAUGAACAAAGCUAACCUGUUGAUUCUUUGAGGGAAGGAACUGGAGAUGGUCCUUUUAGGGGUUUAUGUUCUGGAUUCUAGAAAACACACAAACCGGACAAAUAAAUGCAUCUUUAUUUUUGUGUCUAUUUUAACCUCGUCAAGGAAGAUUCCAACAAAAAAUCCACAGUGCCGGAGCAAGAAGACCUCAGGCUGUGACACUCUAGAGGGAAGCGCUUUCUGUUGUCUGAAAGAAAGGAAAGUGCAUCCUUUUAGAGUGUUACUGUUUGAGAAAAGCAACAUUGAAGCUGAUGCUGAUCUUGGUAAUAAAUUUGCAGCGAAUGCUUAUAAUCAGACUUGGAUGAUGUUGGGCUUCUGAGUUUUUUUUUGUUUUGUUUUGUUUAGUUUUGGGGUUUUUCUGUUUUUUGUUUUUUGUUUUUUUUUUUUUU